GGAAAAAUUCAAAGUAAAUUUUUCUAGUGAGUGAGGAUCCAUUUUUCACCAUCUUCCUAAAUUAGCUUUGGCUUUUCUUUUAGGAGAAUGGUUAUUUAGGUAAGUAACACCUUACUAAUUACAUCAAAUGUAACUCCUCCAUUUGGUGA
Molecule: long non-coding RNA, 149 nt
Organism: Hibiscus syriacus
Lineage: Eukaryota; Viridiplantae; Streptophyta; Magnoliopsida; Malvales; Malvaceae
Exons: 3
Source: RefSeq, a predicted model, not a curated record